CCCAAUCCUCCCAGCAUCAGAGUCUUUUCCAAUGAGUCAACUCUUUGUAUGAGGUGGCCAAAGUACUGGAGUUUCAGCUUUAGCAUCAUUCCUUCCAAAGAACACCCAGGGCUGAUCUCCUUUAGAAUGGACUGGUUCAGCUUCAUAGAUACCUUCAAUUGUGUCAUAUUUUAUAUUGCUCAUAUAUGUGAUAUCAUAUAGCAUUUGUCUUUCUCUCCCUGACAUACUUCACUUAGUAUGAGAAUCUCUAGUUGCAUCCCUGUUGCUGCAAAUGGCAUUUUUCAUUCUCUUUUAUGCUUGAGUAAUAUUCCAUUGUAUAUAUGUACCACUUCUUCUCUAUCAAUUCAUUUGUCGAUGGACACUUAGGUUGCUUCCAUGUCUUGGAUAUUGUAAAUAGAGCUGCUAUGAACAUAGGAGUGUGUAUAUCUUUUAGAAUUAAGAGUUUUCUUCUGGAUAUAUGCCCAGAAGUGGGGUUGUUCUGGCUGUUGUGAAUGCCUGAAUCUUGACAACAAUCUUCACAUGCUAAAGAAACAUAAUAAACUAGAAGUUGAGUGCUUCCUUCAAGAACAUGUUCCGCCCAGCAGAGUAUCAGUAGUCAAUUUUCUCCAUUUUUCGUGCUCAUUAUUUCAGGAGAUUCCGUUUGAUGAGAGAGCUGCACAUACAAGAGACUUGCGGGAAGCAUGGACCUUAGUGAAAAAUGGCCUUUGGAGGAAGGAACCUGGCUGUCUCACGCUGGAGUUCAUCAUUUUGCCAACACCAGAGGGGCCCAGGGCACAAAGUUGAACCUCCUCAGCUCCACACACAGCCUGCCUUUCCUGGUCUGACCUCUGCCUGCCUCUCUAGACUCAUCUCCUGCAGCUCCUCACUAAACACGAAGCCUUCCUCAUCACCGUGUCUACCUCCCCCUGGAUCCUUGAGUGCCUCACGUCCUCACACACCUGUGAGACUCUGCAAAGACUGUCAUUAGUAUAUGCCUUCUACCUGGCCAGGUCCUGCUCAUCUCUGAAGCGCCAGCUUCAGUCAUCUCUUCUGGGAUCUCUUCACCCGUCCACCCCCAUCCUAAUCGGAAUGAGCAGUCUAUCUUCAGUAUUGCCACAGAGCUUGCAGCUUUCCAUGUCACCAAGUUUCUACAUUGUAUUGUCACUGUCUGCAUCCUAGAUGACCUGUGAGCCUCUCAGGGGCAGACAUCUUGUUUUAUUUGCUUUUGCAUCCCUUUCACAAGCAGCCUGGCAAAUAUUUGAUACGUAUUUGGUGGCUGGCUGGCUGGGUGGCUUGAUGAAUGAAUGGAUGUAUGAAUGAAUGAUGGCUGAAACCAGGUCCUCUGCAGAUUUCUGUGGUCACUGAGAAUGUCUUUUGACUGUGGCAGCCCAAUGCAUUGCACAACUGCUUCUGGAAUCACUCCACCUUGCUUUGGGCACACCUAGAGCAUUUUUCUCAGUGACCCCAGGCUUGUUCAUUAAAGCUGGAUGGCAUAGGAGAGAAGUAAGUAAGUAUGGUUUGCCUGCAUCAUCCAUCAUAGAAGUUUAGAGCAGAAAGAAGCCUCAGGGGUCACUGUGACAACAGGGUGGCUAGAAAUUCUACUGUGAGCAGUUCCAAGCAUUAUCACACAUCUCCUUGAGUUCACCACAUCAUAUAUCUAGUCUUUGGAGAUACAUCUGGCUUGUAGGAAGGGGACCCAGCCCGGUGUCUAGAUCUGCCUGAUGGAGAGGCACUGCUCUUGGGUAGUGAUGAGCAUCUGGAGCUGAUGGAAAAGCUUAGCUCAGAUGGGCAGCAGAUCCCUUGUUAUCUGGCCCCAGUUCAGACAGUCGGUCUGUGAUGUUGGCGGUGUCCAAGACAGACUUUGGCUGUGUUGUCCUGUGUGGGUGAAGCACCCUCUCAAGGAAGCAGUAUGCUGAAAUGUGAAAGUUCUUGUGAGCGGCUGGAUCUGGGUGGUUCUCAGGCUGGACUAAGCGGGGCUUCCCUGGUAGCUCAGUCGGUAAAGAAUCUGCCUGCACUGCAGGAGACCCGCGUUCUCUCCUUAGAUUGGGAAGAUCUCCUGGAGAAGGAAAUGGCAAUCCACUUAAGUACUCUUGCCUGGAAAGUCCUAUGGAUAGAGGAACCUGGUGGGCUAUGGUCCAUGGCAUCUCAAGAGUUGGACAUGACUUAACAACUAAACUACCACCACCUCCAGAGGCCUAGGUCAGGGUUCAGGGAAAGGAUGCAGGUCCUAAGAGGACUAGGUAGGGUGGCAAAAUGGAAAUACGGUGAAAUGUUGAAAUGAGGUGAGGAAACUCACACUCAGAAACAAACAAACUUGCACAGUGGGAGACCCCUGUGCCAGACUUAAGUCAGAACUGGAUGAAUUACAAAAAAAUAUUUGUAAUCCCUCAUUAGAUAGAUACCUUACACCGGACGUGACACUACACCUUUCUUUAGUAUAGAUAAAGACCAUCACUGUUCAUUCUCACAACAACCUUAUUCUCCUUUUAUGAAUGAAAAAAAUUGAGCCUGAAGAUGUUGGGAAACUUGCUCAAGGUCACAGGCAAUGUGGGGAUUUGAACGGAGGUCUGCCUGACACUUAACCAUGCCAAUUUAUUGCCUGACGAUUCACCCUCCAAAACUAGCUACUCUGCCUUCUCAAUUAAAGGCUCUGGGGGUCCAGUUACAGACUUUUUUUUUUUUUUUGCUGCUUAUUUCAUUGUCACAGUAGAAAAGACAACUAGCUCUUAACAAGGCCAGAAAACCCACAGUGCUGUUGCAAUGUGUGGGUUACCAUCCAAGAGCCACCAAUGGGCACCUCAGCUAAUGCAUUGCCAAGGCCUUGAUCCACCUGCUUCAGACCAUCUUCCCUCCACCUCUUACCCCACGUCCCCCCUCUCCCAACACUGGCUGGUCCCAGCUGCUCCAUCUCGGAGGCUCACUGUGGGCUAAUGGGGUUUACAUUUCUAGCGAGCUACCAGGAAAGUCCUGAAAGUGCGCAAGCCUUGAGAUCUUAUUCUUG
Molecule: long non-coding RNA, 2980 nt
Organism: Bos grunniens (domestic yak)
Lineage: Eukaryota; Metazoa; Chordata; Mammalia; Artiodactyla; Bovidae
Source: Ensembl